AUAUUUCAUAAUAUAAUACUGUUUACACUAAAAGUCAAUUAAACCACCCACAUGUUUGCCGAAAUAAAAGACAAUAAUUGUUUCAUUCCAUAUUCGAUAGAAAAAAUAUGGUAACAUACUGGUAAAGUAAUUGUUUAUUAUAAAAUACGUUUUUCUUGGAAUAAGGGAUAAAACAGUUAUUGGCUGUUAUAUCAGUAAAUAUGUGGUUUAAUUGACUUUCAUAAAAAUAUAUAUUCACCUUGGUCGUCAAUAUAACCAUACAGAUAGAGAUAUGGCGUAAAUACUACACGGAAGUUCUGAAAGCGGACAUUUCAAAUUAUUUUACUGUAACAAUCAGACCCGUAAGCUCAAAAAGAGUCUUAUAGUCAACAAUCAUAGCAUUACUACACAUCUGAUAAAGUUUUUUGUAACUGAUUGCAGGUUUCUUGAUGUAUUGAUUAAGUGAAUUGCACAAAACACUCACUAAAUAUAUGUAUCGUUUUAUCGCGGUUUCUAAUCAGUGCUCUACAAGUUAUAUCUGUGUUUUAACUACAGGUCACCAACUGUUAUCAAAGAGCUUAUCAUGAACUUUUGUAAUAAAGCAUAAAAAAAUAGUCGAAUAUCAAAAUAUCUACAAUGUUUUGGUAAAUUUCGUGCUCUGAUGGUCAUAUUAAUUGGUUGGCGGUUUUUAUUUUUCGAUUCUCUAUAGCAGUAC
This 694-nucleotide long non-coding RNA is filed under the name Mytilus galloprovincialis (Mediterranean mussel). The record is from RNAcentral. Lineage: Eukaryota; Metazoa; Mollusca; Bivalvia; Mytilida; Mytilidae.